Callithrix jacchus (white-tufted-ear marmoset) is the source of this 2949-nucleotide long non-coding RNA. NCBI's taxonomy places the organism in Eukaryota, Metazoa, Chordata, Mammalia, Primates, Cebidae. The record is from Ensembl.
AUGGAAUCAUCCUGAAAAUAUCUUGACUUGUGUUUUUAUAAUAAGAGGAGAGGACAAGAGAGAUCCAUAGGGAAGAAGGUGAUAUGAUGAUAGUGGCAAGAUUGGAAUGAUGAGUCUGCAAGUCAAGGACACCAAGGAUUGCCGGCAAUCACCAGAAUCUAGGAGACAGGCCCAGACGCUUUCUUUCUUGGAGCUUCCAGAAGAACCAACCCUGCUCACAACUUGAGUUCAGACUUUUGGCUUCCCAAACCAUGAGGGAGUAAAUUAUUUUUAUUUUUUGUAGAGACAGAGUCUUGCUGUGUUGCCCAGGCUGAUCUUGAAUUCCUGGCCUCAAGUGGUCCUCCUGCCUCGGCCUCCCAAAGCCCUCGGAUUAUAGGAGUGAAUCACUGUAUCCAGCCAAGAGGGAGUAAACUGAAGCUGCUCAGUUUGUGGCCAUUUGCAUGGCAGCUCUAUGAAACUAGUACAGUCCCUGACCAGCUGGCCAUGCAUUGGUCACUGUCCUGCCAAUUGACAGAUGUUCGUUUCUUGAACUGGCUCUGUCCUUGCAACUUCAGGAUGCCGGGUGAGUGGACACGGUGUGGAGUAAAGUAUUCCUGGAAGCCAAUCCUGCCCUGGGACAGUUAGCAACGACUUCACUACACGCGGAAACGACUACGAACCCAUAAAUAUAUCCCACUAAACUCAAACUGAAAAUGUCCCCAUGUCACCUUUUACUUUUGCUGUUUUCCAAAAUUGCCUGUGGCUACUCUACCAUUUAUGGGCAUAGGGGAGGUAAGAGUGAAAAGAGACAGAGGUGUGAAUUGGUUGUGGCUAAAAUAGCCUGCUUUUAAAGAUCUCAUAAAAACAUGACUAUCUGAAUAUAUUGCUAGGACCCUCCCAGAGUUCUGGAAGGGACUGUACAAGCUGGGGCAGGGGGUGCUCUGCACCUAUGCCAUGUAUGCUUACUGUUCCAUUUUUGGAACGCUAAGCUUGUGGGAGUUACUUGCAUCCUACUGCUCAAGGUCAUCACCAAGGUCUGAUUUUUCACACACAAAAAUUGCAUCUUCUGGUAUAGAUUGGUUACAGUUCAUUAUCUUUAUGAAAAUCUGACUCUGGUGAAAUGUCUAGGAGCUCUGUUGUCCCCAUACUAUGAGUGGUUAUUUAAGGUUUCUCUCUAGUACAAUGGUUCCCCAAAGCAUGUCUUGAAAUUAGUCCAUAAUGAUUUCAAUAAUGGAAGAAAAAUAAAAUGAAAAAGAUAAGGACAAUGUGAUACAUAUGUGUCACAUGGGUUGUCAACUGUUCCUUCUUGUGAGGGACUGUCAUUUCUGAAGGAGAGAAACCCUUUCUAUUAAUUUGGUGUCAACAUAUCCUUCCUUAUUUGGAAUAGUGAUACCAAUGGAAAGUAAAGUGUCAAGCUUGCAACCUUAUGCUGGUCUCUCCCUCUUCUGCUUUUGCUGUCAGAGUCCUUUUGGGCUGCUAUGGCAAAGUACCAUAGACUAGGUGGCUUCUAAAGAACAGACAUUUCUUUCUUUUAAAAAAGUUUAAAUUUAUUUUAUUUUUAUUUUUUACUUCCAUAGGCUUUUGGGCAACAGGUGGUGUUCAGUUUCAUGAGUAAAUACUUUAGUGGUGAUUUUUGAGAUUUUGGUGUACCCAUCACCCGAGCAGUGUACACUGUACCCAAUUUGUAGUCUUGUAUCCCUCAUCCUCCUCCCACUCUUCCCCAGAGUCCCCAAAGUCCAUUGUAUUAUUCUAAUACCUUUGCAUCCUCAUAGCUUAGCUCCCACUUAUGAGUAAGAACAUACAAUGUUUGGUUUUCCAUUCCUGAGUUACUUCACUUAGAAUAAUGGUCUCCAAUCCAUCCAGGUCACUGUGAAUGCCAUUAUUUCAAUUACAGACAUUUAUUUCUCAUAGUUCUGGAGAAGUCCCAAAUCAAGGUGUCAGCACUGUUGGGUUCUGGUGAGGGCCCUUUUCCCAGGUUGUGAACUUCUAGUUGUAUUCUAAUGUGGUGGAAAGAGAGGAUAAGCGAGAUCUCCAGGGUCCCUUUUAUAAGGACACUAAUCCCAUUCAUGAAGCUUCCACUCCUAUGACCUAAUCACCUCCCAAAGGUCCCACCUCCAAAUACCACCACAUUGGUGGUUAGGUUUGCAACAGAGGAAUUUUAGGGGAACAAAUAUUCAGGCCCUAACAAGGGAGAGAGAGAAAAUGGAAGACUGCAUGGAACAACAGACCUAGAAGGGUAUUUAUUUAUUUAUUUAUUUACUUACUUACUUACUUAUUUUUGAGACAGAAUCUCUCUCUGUUACCCAGACUGGAGUGCAGCGGGUGAUCUUGGCUCACAGGAACCUCUACCUUUAGGGUUCAAGCAAUUCUCUGCCUCAGCCUCCCCAGUAGCUGGGAUUACAGACGCCUGCCACCAUGCCCAGUUAAUUUUUUUAUAUUUUUAGUAGAGACAGGGUUUCACCAUCUUGGCCAGGCUGGUCUUGAAUUCCUGACCUAGUGAUCCACCCACCAGGGCCUCUCAAAGUGCUGAGAUUACAGGUGUGAGCCACUGCGCCCGGCCUGUGCAUUUAUCUCUUUUGCCUACAGUCUUUGAUCAGAACUCAGCCCCAUUGUUCCACCCUAGUUGUGUGAACAGCUGGGACAUGUGUUCCCAGCAGGAGAAUGCAUUGGUAAACCACAGCAUUACCUCUACCAUGUGGACUUUUUCUGGAUCCUAAUAAUGUUUUAAGCAGUAGGAAUAGAAUAUGAUUAUUAUUUUAGGCCUCUAGUCUGUUUCAUUACCUUUUAUCAUAUAAAGUGACAACCUCAAUACCUAAAUUUAGUAUUUGCUUUGUAUUGUUGUAUAACAAACUUUCACAGAUGUACAUCACCACCUAAUUGUGAUCUCAUAGUUCUGUACAUCAGAAGACUGACAUGGCAUGGCUGUAUUCUCUGCUUGGAGUCUUACAGCCAAAAUCAAGAUGUUGGCAG